CCCAUAUGGUCGACCUGCAGGCGGCCGCGAAUUCACUAGUGAUUCGUAUUACCGCGGCUGCUGGCACGGAGUUAGCCGGUGCUUCUUCUGCGGGUAACGUCAAUCAACAGCGCUAUUCACGCUGUUGCCUUCCUCCCCGCUGAAAGUACUUUACAACCCGAAGGCCUUCUUCAUACACGCGGCAUGGCUGCAUCAGGCUUGCGCCCAUUGUGCAAUAUUCCCCACUGCUGCCUCCCGUAGGAGUCUGGGCCGUGUCUCAGUCCCAGUGUGGCUGGUCAUCCUCUCAGACCAGCUAGGGAUCGUCGCCUAGGUGAGCCAUUACCCCACCUACUAGCUAAUCCCAUCUGGGUUCAUCCGAUGGCGUGAGGCCCGAAGGUCCCCCACUUUACUCCAAAGAGGUUAUGCGGUAUUAGCCACCGUUUCCAGUGGUUAUCCCCCUCCAUCGGGCAGAUCCCCAGACAUUACUCACCCGUCCGCCGCUCGCCGGCGGGGAAGCAAGCUUCCCCCCGCUGCCGCUCGACUUGCAUGUGUUAGGCCUGCCGCCAGCGUUCAAUCUGAGCCAGGAUCAAACUCUAAUCGAAUUCCCGCGGCCGCC
Molecule: ribosomal RNA, 595 nt
Filed under: uncultured Gammaproteobacteria bacterium
Lineage: Bacteria; Pseudomonadati; Pseudomonadota; Gammaproteobacteria
Description: partial 16S ribosomal RNA
Source: RNAcentral